GGAAACAGGAGAACCGACUACGCUCUAACUUAACUAAGAUAGAUAGGUGUAAAUAGGAAAGAUGGUAGAAUUGAAUAAGAACAAUAUUAAUGGUAAGAUAACAAUGGGUGAUAAUAUGGGAAUAGAGAGUAGAGCAAUCUAGUAUAUGGGCGAUGGUAGCAAAAUAGAGAGGAUAACUAUGGUUUCUCUACUUCAAAGGGGUAUGUCUAUGUCUGGGACGAACCACGUGAUAAGAAUACACCACAAAGGAUGCUUAUCCAUAGGCCGAUAAACCCUACCCGUCCUGCUAACAGGAGGUGGACUACAGGGGACCAACGUAACUGCACCUAUGCGGCCUACCACACGAUCCAGCUAGAUAGGGGAUAUUCACAAGUAAUCUAGGUCUAAGCACCACGCUUACACCUAUACUACAACUCUAACCUAUAGGGUCCUAGAGAUUAGAAGUACUCAAAAGAGUUGUGAACCAGAACAUACAUGAUUAGUAAUUGCAUAAUGAAUUAGAAGU
This 505-nucleotide long non-coding RNA is filed under the name Sorghum bicolor (sorghum). RNAcentral's name for it is "long non-coding RNA (SBIC_LNC001021)". The record is from RNAcentral. Lineage: Eukaryota; Viridiplantae; Streptophyta; Magnoliopsida; Poales; Poaceae.